UAGAUUUGAGCCGUCCCGGUCAAACUGAACUUAAGGGCAAAAUAAGGGAAGAUAGUGUAGUGGAUCCUAUGGGCAGGACUAGUGCAAAAAAUUGCAAAAUGGGACAUCUAAUCCCAAAAUAAAGAAAAAGUCCAGAAAGAAAUAAAAAAGAAAGAAAAAGAAAGAGAAAAAAAGAAAAAAAAGAAGGAAGAAUAAAGUGAAGAAUGUGCUUAGGCCCGCAAGAAUAGGCAAGGGAUCAAGAAAAUCUGGGAAGUCUGUUGCCCAGAAUGAAGUUCAGAAUGACCUUAGCCUCGUGCCCAAAAAUUCCCACCUUAUGCCUUAAGCCACAUUACAACCAAUGAAAGACCUAAUGAGAUGCACCUAGGACUUUUGACUAAAGGGGAAGACAAUAGAAGAGGGGCAAGCUUAUGGUCAGAACCCAAUCAAGAUGUCCGGAGUGAAAAC
Molecule: long non-coding RNA, 444 nt
Filed under: Salvia miltiorrhiza (redroot sage)
Lineage: Eukaryota; Viridiplantae; Streptophyta; Magnoliopsida; Lamiales; Lamiaceae
Description: long non-coding RNA (SMIL_LNC004137)
Source: RNAcentral